Molecule: ribosomal RNA, 1762 nt
Filed under: human gut metagenome
Description: bacterial LSU rRNA
Rfam family: Bacterial large subunit ribosomal RNA
Source: RNAcentral
GUAAUAGCUCACUAGUCGAGAGGUCCUGCGCCGAAAAUGUCCGGGGCUAAAACACAACACCGAAGCUUAGGAAUUCUUUUGAAUUGGUAGAGGAGCAUUGAAGACGGAACGAAGCCAUACCGAAAGGAAUGGUGGACUGUCUUGAAGAGAGAAUGCCGGAAUGAGUAGCGAGAUUGAAGUGAGAAUCUUCAAGGCCGAAUAUCUAAGGUUUCCAGGGUAAAGCUGAUCUGCCCUGGGUAAGUCGGGGCCUAAGGCAAGGUCGAAAGACGUAGUCGAUGGAUAACAGGUUGAAAUUCCUGUACUGCAUCAAAUCAGAAAUGUGGGGACACAUGAGGGAAGCAUGAGCCGGAAAAGGAAAGUCCGGUACAAGCGCAGCAGAGGACAGAUAGGAAAAACCGUCUGUCAACUCGAGGGCGUGAUGUGGAGCGAACCAAAGUAGCGAAGCAUGUGGAGCUUGUGUCGAGAAAAGCCGCUAUAGUGUUUGAUGUACCCGUACCGUAAACCGACACAGGUGGAUGAGGAGAGAAUCCUAAGGCCGGCGGGAGAAGCAUUGUUAAGGAACUCGGCAAAAUGACCCCGUAACUUCGGGAGAAGGGGUGCUCCAGAGAUGGAGCCGCAGAGAACUGGCCCAAGCAACUGUUUAGCAAAAACACAGGUCUAUGCAAAACCGAAAGGUGAGGUAUAUGGGCUGACGCCUGCCCGGUGCUGGAAGGUUAAGAGGAGAGGUUAGCGCAAGCGAAGCUUUGAAUUUAAGCCCCAGUAAACGGCGGCCGUAACUAUAACGGUCCUAAGGUAGCGAAAUUCCUUGUCGGGUAAGUUCCGACCCGCACGAAAGGCGUAAUGAUUUGGGCACUGUCUCGACAAUGCACCCGGUGAAAUUGAAAUACCAGUGAAGAUGCUGGUUACCUGCGCCAGGACGGAAAGACCCCAUGGAGCUUUACUCUAGCUUGAUACUGGGGUUCGGUAUUGCAUGUACAGGAUAGGUGGGAGACUGAGAAGAUGUGUCGCCAGAUGCAUCAGAGUCGAUGUUGGGAUACCACCCCUGCAGUACUGGGCUUCUAACCUGCAGCCGUGACCCGGCUGGGGGACAAUGUCUGGUGGGGAGUUUGACUGGGGCGGUCGCCUCCGAAAGAGUAUCGGAGGCGCUCAAAGGUUCCCUCAGAAUGGUUGGAAACCAUUCGAAGAGUGCAAAGGCAGAAGGGAGCUUGACUGCGACACCGACGGGUGGAGCAGGUACGAAAGUAGGACUUAGUGAUCCGGUGGUAUAAAGUGGGAUUGCCAUCGCUCAACGGAUAAAAGCUACCCUGGGGAUAACAGGCUUAUCACUCCCAAGAGUUCACAUCGACGGAGUGGUUUGGCACCUCGAUGUCGGCUCAUCGCAUCCUGGGGCUGUAGCAGGUCCCAAGGGUUGGGCUGUUCGCCCAUUAAAGCGGUACGCGAGCUGGGUUCAGAACGUCGUGAGACAGUUCGGUCCCUAUCCGGCGUGGGCGUAGGAUAUCUGAGAGGAGCUGUCCUUAGUACGAGAGGACCGGGAUGGACUGACCUCUGGUGCACCGGUUGCAUUGCCAAAUGCAUAGCCGGGUAGCCAAGUCGGGACGGGAUAAACGCUGAAGGCAUCUAAGCGUGAAGCCCCCCUCAAGAUGAGAUAUCCCAUAACAUAAGUUAGUAAGACCCCUUGAAGACGACGAGGUAGAUAGGCAGAAGGUGGAAGUGUGGUGACAUAUGGAGCUGAUCUGUACUAAUAGGUCGAGGGCUUAACCAA